This 228-nucleotide ribosomal RNA is filed under the name uncultured bacterium. Its description in RNAcentral is "partial 16S ribosomal RNA". It matches the Rfam family "Bacterial small subunit ribosomal RNA", at positions 103 to 334 of the family's 1533-position model. The record is from RNAcentral.
CGGGUGAGUAAUGUCUGGGAAACUGCCUGAUGGAGGGGGAUAACUACUGGAAACGGUAGCUAAUACCGCAUAACGUCGCAAGACCAAAGAGGGGGACCUUUGGGCCUCUUGCCAUCGGAUGUGCCCAGAUGGGAUUAGCUAGUAGGUGGGGUAAUGGCUCACCUAGGCGACGAUCCCUAGCUGGUCUGAGAGGAUGACCAGCCACACUGGAACUGAGACACGGUCCAG